GAGGGGCCCCUCUCGGGUUACCGAAUUCAGACAAACUCCGAAUGCCAAUUAAUUUAACUUGGGAGUCAGAACAUGGGUGAUAAGGUCCGUGUUCGAAAGGGAAACAGCCCAGACCACCAGCUAAGGUCCCAAAAUAUAUGUUAAGUGGAAAAGGAUGUGGCGUUGCCCAGACAACUAGGAUGUUGGCUUAGAAGCAGCCAUCAUUUAAAGAGUGCGUAAUAGCUCACUAGUCGAGUGACACUGCGCCGAAAAUGUACCGGGGCUAAACAUAUUACCGAAGCUGUGGAUUGUCCUUUGGACAAUGGUAGGAGAGCGUUCUAAGGGCGUUGAAGCAUGAUCGUAAGGACAUGUGGAGCGCUUAGAAGUGAGAAUGCCGGUGUGAGUAGCGAAAGACGGGUGAGAAUCCCGUCCACCGAUUGACUAAGGUUUCCAGAGGAAGGCUCGUCCGCUCUGGGUUAGUCGGGUCCUAAGCUGAGGCCGACAGGCGUAGGCGAUGGAUAACAGGUUGAUAUUCCUGUACCACCUAUAAUCGUUUUAAUCGAUGGGGGGACGCAGUAGGAUAGGCGAAGCGUGCGAUUGGAUUGCACGUCUAAGCAGUAAGGCUGAGUAUUAGGCAAAUCCGGUACUCGUUAAGGCUGAGC
Molecule: ribosomal RNA, 641 nt
Filed under: Staphylococcus aureus
Lineage: Bacteria; Bacillati; Bacillota; Bacilli; Caryophanales; Staphylococcaceae
Description: partial 23S ribosomal RNA
Rfam family: Bacterial large subunit ribosomal RNA
Source: RNAcentral